This is a long non-coding RNA of Nelumbo nucifera (sacred lotus), 1322 nucleotides long. RefSeq lists it as uncharacterized. The record is from RefSeq and is a predicted model, not a curated record. Lineage: Eukaryota; Viridiplantae; Streptophyta; Magnoliopsida; Proteales; Nelumbonaceae.
CCUGGCCUAUACGUGCUAAGCCCGACCCGGGCCUUGAUCACCCCUAAGGCCCUAUUUGCUUAGAGCCAGUCAACCAGAUGUAGUCGUGGAGGAGCAGAAAAGUAGAUUUCAUAUUUCCUAGUUUCCCCGAUUAUUGAGGUACACGACAGGAGGACGACGACAAUGGUUGUAUGCAUCCGAUUAUCCCUUCUUUAAAUGCUUUUUCUUCGCUCUGCCCCCGCUGCACUGGAUUCUCGUAUUAGGUCAGAAUCAGAUCCAUCUGAUUUGUCACCUCUUCAUUUCUCCUGAACUCGUUCUUUUGACAAGUUACAGUAAUCCAGGAUGUAUAUGGCAUACGGAUGGCCUCAACUCAAGUCAUCCCGCUUCAACUAGGGCUCUGCCCAGUUCCCGAGCAGACCUUCUAUCUUAAAUUCAUCAAUCGUUUAUUGCUCGUCAUCGCUCCCUCUCACAUAGAACUCUGGAACUCUUCCCAGUUUUUUAUUUUAUUUUAUUUUAUUCAAACCUUUGGAUUUGUUGUAGCAUUUUUUAUUUUUUUAUUAUAGUUUUCUAAAAUUGCUGAGAUUGCGGCUCAGCAUAAGGUGAAGGGAAGUACUACAGAGAUUCAGAUUCAGUGCUAAGGGAGGGGGAGAAUUCGCAGGCUGUCAGGACUCCUAGCACCAAAAUAAUUGCCGUUCUUCUACAAAUGAGCAGUACUUUGUAGAGCUGGUUAGCUGCUGAAUUCCUUUUGGCUCAUAUGUGUUCAGUGAAGUUUAAAGAGUGGAUAGUCAUCUUGGGGAAUCCUGGACCUUCAGGUAUUGGAGGUAUAUUUAGAGAUGAGGAGGGUAAAUUCAUUGCUAUGUUCUCAGGGCCAGUUGGAGGAGACUCCCUGAGAGCAGAAGUGUUGGAAGUAAUGGAAGGCAUGCAAAGGGCAAAGCUGAUGAACAUUCAAAAGCUAAUUGUGGAAGGAGACUCUAAACUGGUGAUUAGCUGGUUACAAGAUGGGGGGUUGAAACUGUGGCUUUUCAAUAAUGAAAGGAAGAAGAUCAGGUGGUUAACCAGAGUUAUGGAAAUAAUUGUUGGGUGGGUUAAGAGAUCUGCUAAUUCUGUAGCAGAUGCCUUAGCCAAACAAGGAGCGGAGAGAGACUCAUUGUUCUGGGCACAACUGUAAGGGAUCUGGUUGUUUUGAGAUGAGAGGUUUUAUCUCUCAGUCUGUCUGUAUAUAAUGUAUUGGCAACACUUUUAAGACGUUCAGAGGUAUUCCUGGACUUUGAACCUGGUACAGAAAAUGUCGUUUCCUUGUUGAUCUUAGGUUAAUCAACAAUUGCUGAUCUCAUUUCACUCAA